CGCGCGAGGCGGUUGCGCUAGGUGAGCGGGUACCGCGGCCGCGCCUCCCUUGUCAUUUACUCAGCGGUCAGAGGCAUCCUGCGUCUGGGAGUCCCAAGUGCCUUCGGCUGGGUGCCCCUGUCCGAUCCUCAAAAGGAAAGCACAAAUCCCGGGUGCGAGUCUAACCCAGGACCGAACUUUCCCGCGAACCUGAAGUUACCAUGGGGCGGGAGCCACCUUAGCGCCGCGUCCGCCCGCCCCUCGCACCGGCUAGGAUGCUGCGGAAGGCAGGGGCGCCGAGAGGCAAGGGUGAAAGACGCCGUCCAUACCCCCAAAGCCCGAACCUGCAUCUCCUCUGCGAGGCGCAGGGCGGGAGGACCGCUGCAGUUGGGAGCCGGCUCCGGACAGGCAAAGCGACCCGACAGGUAACCUUCCACAGGCCCACACAUGUGUUAUCAGCCAUACCUUAGGACAGAAGGAAUGAGUUUGCAGAAAGGAUGCUCUUCAGAACUCAUGAAGACAUAAGGUGCUUCAAAAGAGGAGACUUUCGGAACAUGAGCAGGGAAAUUGUCACUUGAUAGAUGACAAGCAUUGUGAGAAACAACAGUUUGCCUUUCUUCAUUCCCUUCCUGGUUAUCUUUCCUGUCACAUGAAGAAGAAAUGAAACACCAGAGAGAAUCAGGUUAUCAUCAUCUACACCAGCCACUGUCACUGGAGCUACUCCACCAUGUACCAUCAACAGCAACUUGGAAAAAAAAUGCCCGCACCAACAGGAAAAUGGAGCUGCAGGAGCUGAAUGAUGGUUUCAUACACAUCGACAAGGUGCACUUCUUGGUCCAAAAGAACAAGAUACUGCUGAUAAAGUGAAGCAGCUCCAGAAACAGGGAAAGUCAACCUGGGGAACUUCUACAAGGAGGAGAUGCAACAGCUGCAUCAGCAAGUGGACCAGGUAACCAACAAGGCCAGUAUCAAGGCUCAGCAUGACAUCCUAGCCAAGGACAUCAGGACAAUUUGCAGAAAGAGAUGCUUCAGAGAGAGGAAGCUGAGAGCACCCUUAGAAAUCCUGCAAACUUGCAGACUGCAUGUUGACAAUGCUUCUUUGACACUCCAUGACUUCUGGCAAUCUCUUCCUUGCAAGAAGAGAUUGCCUUUUUGAAGGAACUGCGCAGGAAUGAAACCUGGGAGCUGCAGGUCCAGAUUCAGGAAGAGCCAUACAAAUUGAUGAUAUUUCCAAGACUGACCUCAUGGCUGCACUGCGUGAUGUGUGUUAGCAGUAUGAAAGUGUAGUUACUAAGAACCUUCGGGAACCAGGCCAGGUUUGUUGAUCUCUCUGAGGCUAUUAACUGAACCUGGACAGUGAUGCCCUGCAUUAGGCAAAGCAGGAGUCAAAAGAGGAGGCAAAGACAGGUCCAGUCCCUCACUGGCCAAGCACUCAAAGGAACUGAGAAUUCUCUGCAGUGCCAGAUGUGUGAAAUAGAUGAGAACUUUGCUGUGAACUAUCAAGACACUAUUGGCCUCAUGCAGGAUGAGAUUCAGAAUGGGAAGGAAGAAAUAAUUAAGGCCUGCCACCUUAAUCAAUGUCAGGACCUGUGGGAUGCUCACAGAGCCCUUGACUUUGAGAUUGCCACCUACAGAAUGCUGCUGGAAGGUGAGGAGAGCAGGAUUUCUCUGUCUCUUCCAAACUUUUACUCUCAGAACUGGAGGGAAACCAUUCUGUGUUCACUCCCUCUGGUUGACAGCCACUCAUACAGGACCCUUCUGACAUUUAAAACUGGGAGAUGGACAGGUUAUCAAUGAACCUUCUCAGCCUCAUGAUUAGCUUGAUGAAAAAUUGCACAUACUCGCUGCAGCAAUAUAUCACCAUCAAGAAUAAAAAGGAAGACUACAUCUUAAAGAAACAGCCUUCAAAUGCCCCUCUACAGCUUUUCAGUAGCAUAAGAUAAAUUUGGAAUAGAAAUAAGCUACAGUUCUUAAGAACUAACACUCCUAAAAGAUUUAGAACAAAAGUUUAAAACAUAGUCUGGUUUAUGAAGAAGUUUUGUGCUACACCGGUUUUGUAAAAAUAUUUUGAAAAUCGUUAUAACUGUUUUUUUGUUCCAGCAAGUAUUGGACUAACUUGUUUCUACUUCAAUAAACCUUUGGAAAAACCAACCAGCAAACAACAACGAUUUUAAAAAUGCUUCUUGGGAUGAGUUGAAGAGAGAAUGGAAGAAACACUGAAAGGAAAUGUGAUACCAUGGAAAGUACACUGAACUGGGAAAUAGAAAGUAUGAGUUUUCAAUCCACCACCGAGCCCCUAUGUUACCUUAGGCCCAAACUGGAAACAAUCCAGAUGUCCCUCAACACAUGAAUGGAUAAGCAGAUUUUGGCAUUUCUAUGCAAUGGAAAGCUACUUAUUAAUUAAAAGGAAUGAACUAUUGAUACAUGCACCAGCAUGGACGGAGUCUUGCCCUAUCGCUAGGCUGGAGUGCAGGGGUGAGAUCUCAGCUCACUGCAACCCCUGCCUCCCAGGUUCAAGCGAUUCUCCUGCCUCAGCCUCCCUAGUAGCUGGGACUACAGGUACACACCACCAUGCCCAG
Long non-coding RNA from Homo sapiens (human), 2558 nucleotides. The record is from Ensembl. Lineage: Eukaryota; Metazoa; Chordata; Mammalia; Primates; Hominidae.